AAAAGAGGCCGGCCACGUAAGUCUCUCAGCAAUAGCAGCCCUGAAAAGGCUGACGCUAAAGAUUCACUGAAAGGUGGCUCUAAUACACCAAAAGCAAAAAGGGGUCGUCCAAAAGGAACCACUAAGCGCAAGGCAGAAAGUUUAACAAGGCCGAAACGAAGAGGCUCUCCAAAUAAGAAACCCAAGCUGGAGUCGGAAGAGGAGGAGGAAGAGGAGGAGGAAGAGGAAGCUGUUUCAAGCCCAAACUCACAGGUGAGGAGGAGAGGUCGGCCAAGGAAGGUGGAGGGGACACAGAAGACAUCAAAUGGCUUCUCAAAGAAGUCUCAUAGAGGGAGGGGAAGGCCAAGGAAGGUUAUUAAACCAGAGAGUGAUGAUGAUGAUGAUGAUGAUGAUGAAGAUGAAGAACAACAACAACAACCAGCUAAGAGGGGAAGAGGUCGUCCUAAAGGCUCUGUAAACAAGAAACCCCCUGCAUAUAAGGUGCAAGCUAAGGUGAGCCGGACCAGAAGAAGGAAGCGUGGUCGUCCAAGUAAACAACCAGCCAAAAGGGGAAGACCAAGGAAACACCCUCUGCCGUCAGCUGAGGAGCUGAAAAGGCCAAAAGUAUGGAAGCCGCUGGGAAGGCCGAGGAAAUACCCACGUGCUGACCCUCCUGAGGAGUCUGCAGCAGCCUCUCCCAAAAGCCGCGGCCGGCCUCGCAAGACAGAAUCUAAGAAAGGCGCUCACUUGCGCAAGAAUUUUCCUGCCUCUUCAUCCUCCCCACCUAACCCCAAUGUUGGAUCACCGCGAAAGAGAGGCCGUCCCCCAAAAAGUGAUGCUGGCAUGCCGCGGAAAUUGGGCCGCCCUAAAGGUUCACUCAACAAAAAUAAAGCCAGAGGUGAAACGCAGCUCGACAGCGAGUCAAAAGCAAAGAGUGAUUCAUCUCCUCUUGGGGUGGAAAAUGAAGAGGAGACGGUAGAAGAGGAGGUGGAGCACGACUCGGAGACGUCCAUUGAACAUGACGCAGAGACGUCCAUCCAACACGACGCACUGACGUCCAUUGAGCACGGAGACUUUACUGAAGAAUCGGCCAUGGGUCAGGAUGCCAGCUUUGAAGUUAGUAACCAGGCUUGA
Molecule: long non-coding RNA, 1113 nt
Filed under: Cottoperca gobio
Lineage: Eukaryota; Metazoa; Chordata; Actinopteri; Perciformes; Bovichtidae
Description: lncRNA (ENSCGOG00000003252.1)
Source: RNAcentral